This 114-nucleotide non-coding RNA is filed under the name Bacillus infantis. RNAcentral's name for it is "TPP sequence". It matches the Rfam family "TPP riboswitch aptamer (THI element)". From Rfam's summary of the family: Vitamin B(1) in its active form thiamin pyrophosphate (TPP) is an essential coenzyme that is synthesised by coupling of pyrimidine and thiazole moieties in bacteria. The previously detected thiamin-regulatory element, thi box was extended, resulting in a new, highly conserved RNA secondary structure, the THI element, which is widely distributed in eubacteria and also occurs in some archaea. Analysis of operon structures identified a large number of new candidate thiamin-regulated genes, mostly transporters, in various prokaryotic organisms. The record is from RNAcentral. Lineage: Bacteria; Bacillati; Bacillota; Bacilli; Caryophanales; Bacillaceae. RNAcentral also lists the same sequence under 1 other name.
AGCAACUACUGGGGGUGCCUGCGGAAAGCAGGCUGAGAGAAAAACUGGCCCGUUUUUUAACCCUUUGGACCUGAUCUGGAUGAUGCCAGCGUAGGAAAGUAGCGAAGUGGAACU